AGAGUUUGAUCCUGGCUCGAGAUGAACGCUGGCGGCGUGCCUAAUACAUGCAAGUCGAGCGGGUGUAGCAAUACAUCAGCGGCGAACGGGUGAGUAACACGUGGGUAACCUGCCUCUCAGUCUGGGAUACCCGAGGGAAACCUCGGCUAAUACCGGAUACUUCUCUUGAAGGCAUCUUCGAGAGAUAAAAACGGCUUCACAGCCGCGCUGAGAGAAGGACCUGCGGCGCAUUAGCUAGUUGGUGAGAUAAUAGCCCACCAAGGCGAGGAUGCGUAGCCGACCUGAGAGGGUGAUCGGCCACAAUGGAACUGAGAAACGGUCCAUACUCCUACGGGAGGCAGCAGUAGGGAGUUUUCGGCAAUGGGGGGAACCCCUGACCGAGCAACGCCGCGUGAGUGAUGAAGGUCUUCGGAUUGUAAAGCUCUGUUGUAGGGGACGAAUGGGUGAUCGAGGAAAUGCGGUCGCUUUGACGGUACUCUACCAGAAAGCCACGGCUAACUACGUG
RNAcentral lists this ribosomal RNA (505 nucleotides) under uncultured bacterium. RNAcentral's name for it is "bacterial SSU rRNA". It matches the Rfam family "Bacterial small subunit ribosomal RNA", at positions 8 to 507 of the family's 1533-position model. The record is from RNAcentral.